UGGCCUCCGCGGCCCGUGCGAGUGCGCCCUUCUCGGGUCCCCUAGGUCGCGGGGCAGCCGGGGCGGAAGGGGCUUGUUCAUUAUUUUGAGAGUUUGUUGUGAACGUCAUAACCUUUCGUCCUUAAAUAUUGCCGAUACUUGACCUACGCAAGAGACAAUGUCAUGUGAUUCAGCCUAAUAUCUCAGAGGAUGCAGCAUUCAAGGUUCUAUCUUGGAAGCAGAGACUGUGCCCUCACCAGAUGCUGAACCUGCUGAGCACCCUGAUCUUCCACUUCACCUUCAUCAGAACUACUGGGGCUGUGGCUGAGAUGUCACAUGGCAGAUAGGAUCACAAAUUUCUGUUGUAUCUGGAUGGAGAUCAGCAGGAGGAUCUAUGGGUGAGAAGAAGCACAGUUACAGAUGGAUUCUAGAGCCUGCUUGCUGACACAGGCUUGCAACUGCGGACUUUAUAAGCUUAGUUUUUAAUCUGCUAUCAGCUAGCAUAAUACCAUAAAUGCAUAAGAAACUAAGUAUUCAGUCUUACGAGAAAUGCUAUCUUGACCUGACCCUUUCUCCAAAUAAAUUGACAAAAUAUCUCAUCGUCUAGGAUGCCAGACAGAAAUACCAGUUGCAAUGUUUUGUUGCAUAAAGUUUAUCCUAAUUUAAAUUAGUGGCAUAUAAAGUCAUCAUCUUGCUUGAACAAACAUCUUAUUAAAUUGAGCAUGUCUUUUAUCCCAUGAAAUGAAAUUAAUUUUGAGAUAGUUAUUUUUCAGUUGGAAAUUUAUUGAGUUGAUAGAAAACAAGUUAUAUAGUCUUCCAAAGAAUAUGUUACAUCCAUUUGCAUUUUGUUUUUCUUCAGCAAUGUUUGGUUUUUAGAAAAUCUUACAAGUUAAAUAUACUAAUGUAGAAAUUGAAAGAAAAUAAUCAGAGAUAGAGCAAUAAAUUUGCAAAUAAAGAUUAUUCUUAAAACAAA
Molecule: long non-coding RNA, 952 nt
Filed under: Homo sapiens (human)
Lineage: Eukaryota; Metazoa; Chordata; Mammalia; Primates; Hominidae
Description: non-protein coding LINC00882:8
Source: RNAcentral